RNAcentral lists this ribosomal RNA (253 nucleotides) under uncultured bacterium. RNAcentral describes it as "partial 16S ribosomal RNA". It matches the Rfam family "Bacterial small subunit ribosomal RNA", at positions 524 to 776 of the family's 1533-position model. The record is from RNAcentral.
UACAGAGGGUGCUAGCGUUGUUCGGAAUUACUGGGCGUAAAGGGUUCGUAGGUGGCCAACUAAGUCAGUCGUGAAAUCCCUCAGCUCAACUGGGGAACUGCGUCUGAUACUGGUCGGCUUGAGUUCGGGAGAGGGAUGCGGAAUUCCAGGUGUAGCGGUGAAAUGCGUAGAUAUCUGGAGGAACACCGGUGGCGAAGGCGGCAUCCUGGACCGACACUGACGCUGAGGAGCGAAAGCCAGGGGAGCAAACGGG